UACGUAGGGUGCAAGCGUUAAUCGGAAUACUGGGCGUAAAGCGUGCGCAGGCGGUUUUGUAAGUCUGACGUGAAAUCCCCGGGCUCAACCUGGGAAUUCGCGUUGGAGACGUGCAAGGCUAGAAUCUGGCAGAGGGGGGUAGAAUUCCGACGUGUGAGCAGUGAAAUGCGUAGAGAUAGUGGGAGGAACACCAGUGGCGAAGGCGACUCUUUGGUCGUGGUAACUGAGCGCUGACGGCUGACGGAAAGCGAAUGGGGACAACU
Molecule: ribosomal RNA, 263 nt
Filed under: uncultured bacterium
Lineage: Bacteria
Description: partial 16S ribosomal RNA
Rfam family: Bacterial small subunit ribosomal RNA
Source: RNAcentral